AAAACUCCAUUCCCAAAUUUCUUCAUGAAAUUUCAUCCCUCCCUCUCAAAGAAACUCUCUCUACAAAUCUCUAUUGGAGAUGAAACUCAAGAACAUCUUAGAGGUUAGAUUUUCAUGUUUUCUUCAUCAAGUUAUCAUGGUCCUUCUAUGUAAUGAGGUAUGGUAAUGCUUCAUCUUUAUUUAACCAUUCAUCUAAGAAGUUCCUUCAAAGGUUUUCAAAGAAGAUUCUAUGAUCCAAAUCCUUAUCUUUCAAUCUAGUAAUGGGUUCAUUGUCAGAUAAAUUUCAAAAGAAUUCUAAUGAUUAAUUUAUUAUUUACUAAUGCUUUAAUGAUGAAUUUAAAUCCAAUUUCAUGAAGAACCCAUGAUCCUUAUACUUUCUCAAUUUAGCCUAUAAUGUGGGCAUUAUGAUCUUAAUGUUAGUUUGAUUAAUUGUGUUUCAAUUACUUUAUUAUUUCUGUUUCUAGUGUUUUCUAUUUGAAUUCAUGGUUAAUUAUUUGUAAUUUAUCAAUGAUGAUCAAAGUUUUGAAAAUUGGUAAGAUUUCCCUAUUUCCUCUACUUUGUAUAAAAUUGAUAGUUGCAUUGGCCUUGAAUGACAUUUUUUUGUAUGAUCCACUUAUGGUGGAGGUUUUACUUCAUUUUUCAUUCCCUAUAUGAUAUGAUCAUGUACUUGAAGGCAAAUUUAUGUAUUGUGAAUGUGUGGUUAUGAUUUUCACACAAUGUGAAGUUAUAUGUCUAGUUUCCAAUGCUAGUAUCAUGUUUUAGGUGUUGAUAAUGUCUACUAUGUUUGAAUGAAGGUGCUAGGGUUAUGUAUGGUAUAUAUGUCUAUCAUUGAUGAAAUUAUAUUUAUGGAUGACCCCCUAACUAUGUAACCCUACAUAAAUGUGCUGUCUAAAGCAUGGUUAGGAGUCUAAGAUUCAAAUGUUGAAGAUGUCUUGUCUCAUAUGCUAUAAUGUGGUGUGUGGUCUAUUCAUGAACGUGUAUUGUGAUAUUUAGAGGGUGUAUGACUCAAUAUUGUGUUGAUAGUCAUUAUGUGAUCAUGUUGAGAAAUGUACACACACUUACACUUCAUUCAUGUGUAUGAGUAGGAUAGAUUCAUAGUGUCUAAUGAAAGGAUAAUUCUCAUAUGCACUAUUAUGUAUUACUAUGCAUGUAAAGUAUAUGUUCAUGAAACUAUGAAAAUGUAUCUUAACUAGGUGAUUACUCUAUGUACAUGAAUAUAAAUGCAUGAUUAAGCUAUGAACAUGAAAUUAAGGUAUAUGUUAUGAUGUCAAGUAUAUGAUACUUAUGAAGUAUGUAUUUGUGUAGUGUAUAAAUGUUGUAUGUGAAAGGUUUCCGCAUAUAUGAACACAUACACACACAAAAAUGAAUGCAUACAUGAACCAUGUAUUAUAAUCUAGUAAAGUAGGGUACUUGGAAAGGUGUUCUCAAAUGUAAUCUAAAAUAGAUUAUGCUUGAAUAUGCUAUGUCCAUACGAACGGUUUUCUCACAUGAGUUAGGUCUAUGAAUUGACAAUUCUCAUCUAUAACCUUUAAGCUAUGCAUAUGAGAGGUUAAUCUCGUAAAGCUUAAUUUUAUGAAAUUAAUAUUAAUAAAGGGUUUUUAAAAAGUGAAUUUAGCUUAUCACCGAGUGAACUUGACAAUGCGAGGUGUUGACUCCCCUUGGAGGGAUAUUCACCCUAUAAUUUCUCAUGUGAUGAGGACUUUAAUGCUAUUGGGCAUGUAGAGGGUCCAAGACAUAUAUCCUAGUUCCUUAACACUGUUUUCCACAUAGGACCUAGAAAUUGGAUCCAUCUAAUAUGCUAGCAUUAUAUUUAUGUUCUACCUUGGCAAGUAGAGAACCUCCUUUCGAUGUGGGGUGUCAUGACACCAGAUUUCAUGUUUAGUUAACAUUGUAUGAUUGUCGGUUAAGGAUAGGGUUUCCCUAAAGUAAAAUGGGAAAUGGAAGUAAAUUAAUGAACCUUAACUAAGAUAAGUUAAGGAAAGUUGCUUAGUGUAGGUGAGGGUAUGAGACUUUACCUAUGCAUUGCACAAGCAGCUCUUAAUGGGAGUUUUAGGAAGGUGUGCUAUAUCUAUAUGUAUAUGCAUACGCCUUUUAUGCAUGAAAUUAUGGUAAUGACCUACUUGUAUGAUAAUAUGCAUAGUAUGACUCCUAUUGUGUCUAUAUGAUGAGGUCUUACUUUAGAUGCAUAAUGUUGGUCUUAUAGACUAUAUGAUGAGGUCUUAUGUUACAUGUAUGAUGCUGGUCUUACUUUCCAUAUGAUGAAGGUCCUACUUAUGCAUGUAGUUGACUAUAGUUGUCAUGAUGAUGAAUGGAGCAAAGUAUAAGGCUUGUGGUCUCUCUGUGUGUUUACUUGGUAUGUGUGAUAUUAUGGGGCUUUACAUGUACAUUGAUUGCACUAGUAGGCUUAGAUUGAGAUUAUGAAUAAGGUCUUAUGAUGUAUUAAUGAAAUAAAGUACAAGCAUGUAUUUGUUGACUAUUGCUUAUUAUCAUGUUAUUGGUAGCGUUGACUUGUAUGUUAUCUUGAAAUGUGUCUCCUAUGUGGUUUAUGAAGUAUGUUGGGUCAUAUGUGAAAUAUGUGUCUCAUGAUAUGCUAUAUUUUCAUGAAUAUCUAUGUUUUAAAUUAAUGAAGGUUAGAUGAAUGUUCACCUUGGUGACCUUAAGACCAUCUCCAAUCCAUCUCUAAUUUACUCUCCAUUUUCUAUAUUUGAAGAGUAAAAUAGAUAAUAGUUUUUCCAAUCACUCUCUAUUUAACUCUCUAUUCUUCUAUUAUAGAGAGGUGAAUACUAGUUCUCCAAAUUUAGAGAACUACUUUUUACCUCUCUAUUUUACUUUUUGAUUAUUAUUAUAUUAUUUCUAUUAUAUUACUAAUUUAAUCUUUAUCAUUUGUAAUUAUUUUCUAGUGCAAUAUAACAUAAAACAAGUUACUACUUCCGCCAAAUUAAUACUACUUCCGCCGAAUUAAUCAUUUUUAUUCUAUUUUUUAUAAGAAAAUCUCACUUUAAAUAUGCGACUUAAAUUUACUUUACUGUUAAUUAUAUUAUAUAAAAUUAUUAAUUAAAUCUCUAAUAUUUGUCACUAUUUUCUAAAUAACAUAACAUCUAAAACAUAUUAUUGUCUUUUUAUUUGUUUUUUAUUUUAGAUAUUUAAUUUAGAUAAUAAUUAUAUUUCAUAAUGAAAUAUGCACAAAAUUAACAUAAUAAUUCAAACAAGCUACUUUUUAUGUUAUGUGAUAAACUAUAAAAUUAUACUUUUUUUAAUUGUAUGAAAAUAUUUGAUUCAAUAGUUCAAAAUGGAAUAUGGGAAGUAAAUUAGUACACAAAAUAAUUGAAUACAAGAUGAUAUUGUUAAUUUACACAAUUUUAGCUACACACAAAAAAUGCUUAUUUUGAACUCUGUAAUACAUUAAUAGAACACUCAUAAGAGUAAAGUAAUAAUCUUGAAAGUUGAGUAUUUAUGUAAGAUUUAAAAUAAACUUUAUAAUCAUACAAAAUUUAUCAUACAAUUAUAUUUCAUUAAUGAUUUGCCUUUUGUUUGAAUCGUUUAUUAAUAUGUAUUAUAAAUAAUUUUUUAUCAUAAUUCAUGUUAUUUACAAUAAAAUAUAAUUUUGUAUUAAAAGAAGAAUUUGAAAAAAAUAAAAAAAUAAUUAGAUAAAGACUAUAGAGUGAUUAUUUUAAUAAAUAAGAAAUUAUUGAAAUUAUGAAAUAAUAAAUAAGAAUGAAAUAUAAAUUAUAAUAUAACAUUAAAAAGAGAGAGAAAAAUAUUAUUUUUAGAGAGUAAAAAUAGAGAAUUGGGUUUGAGUUGAUUGUCUGAAACAAUAGAAAACUCUGUAAAAUAGUGGCAGGGUUGGAGAUGCCCUAAGGUUGUGCUUGGGUGUGGACAGUGGAUUAAGACACUAUUCAUGCAUUUCACCAAGUGUUACUACAAGGUUACUUGGGGAUUUAAUGAAUUAAGGUAAAAGAAGAUAAUGUUAUAAAUAUGAUUGAUAUGCUUAAAUGCAAUAUAUGUGGAUUUUGUGUGUAAACAUGGAUAUUGUCUAUACCUAUAUGAAGUAUAUGAACUAUAUUGUGUAAUGUGCCAAUUUUUAUGAAGAUUCUUUUAAAAAAAUCAUGUUGCAUGAUUUCUAACUAAACGUCCUCCUUUUAAGUGGCAUAUUUUUGCAUGGUUGUCAUACUUUGUGCAUUCUUAUACUAAUAUCAUUCUUCUUCAUAUUUUUACAGUAAGUGUAGGUGAUUAAUUACUAGAGGAUUCCUCUUAAAGUGAAGGGCUUUAUACAUGUUUCCAAGCUCAAGAAAAGCAAUUAUGAUUCAAGGAUUUCCUAUGUCAAGUUAUUAUUCAAAGUAUAUGUAAUAGCUUAGUUAUUAUUUAUGUCGUUAAGAGUCGUGUCCCUAUUCUACUCUAUUGAAGUUGAGUCUACGAUGACAAAAGAUAGUCAGAGUCUAACUAUGUAUUAUGGCUAUUUUAUGUUUGUAUGAAGUGAUGAGUCUAGCAUAUAUUGUGUUAGAAAUGUUUUAAAUUUUUCGCUGGAUUUCCUAUAACAAUGCGAUGAAUCAUGUC
RNAcentral lists this long non-coding RNA (4554 nucleotides) under Solanum lycopersicum (tomato). Its description in RNAcentral is "long non-coding RNA (SLYC_LNC001353)". The record is from RNAcentral. Lineage: Eukaryota; Viridiplantae; Streptophyta; Magnoliopsida; Solanales; Solanaceae.